CCUACGGGUGGCAGCAGUGAGGAAUAUUGGUCACUGGACGAGAGUCUGAACCAGCCAAGUAGCGUGAAGGAUGACUGCCCUAUGGGUUGUAAACUUCUUUUAUAUGGGAAUAAAAUGUUCCACGUGUGGGAUUUUGUAUGUACCAUAUGAAUAAGGAUCGGCUAACUCCGUGCCAGCAGCCGCGGUAAUACGGAGGAUCCGAGCGUUAUCCGGAUUUAUUGGGUUUAAAGGGAGCGUAGGUGGAUUGUUAAGUCAGUUGUGAAAGUUUGCGGCUCAACCGUAAAAUUGCAGUUGAAACUGGCAGUCUUGAGUACAGUAGAGGUGGGCGGAAUUCGUGGUGUAGCGGUGAAAUGCUUAGAUAUCACGAAGAAAUCCGAUUGCGAAGGCAGUUCACUGGACUGCAACUGACACUGAGGCUCGAAAGUGUGGGUAUCAAACAGGAUUAGAUACCCUUGUAGUC
RNAcentral lists this ribosomal RNA (460 nucleotides) under uncultured bacterium. RNAcentral describes it as "partial 16S ribosomal RNA". It matches the Rfam family "Bacterial small subunit ribosomal RNA", at positions 338 to 795 of the family's 1533-position model. The record is from RNAcentral.